UUCACACUGAAUAUUCCUUCAAAUCACAUUUAUAUGCUCCCAGCAGUUGUAGAUCCUUCAGGUUUGCAGCACUUCUCUGACAGAGUUGUUGAUGGUAUCGCAGCAGUUUUCUUGGCAAUGAAACGAAGACCUGUUAUCCGAUAUCAAAGAACCUCUGAUAUUGCAAAAAGGAUAGCACAAGAAACAGCAAAGUUGAUGUACCAGCAGGAAAGUGGUCUUUUUGAUUUCAGGCGAACAGAAGUUUCUCCAUUAUUGCUGAUAGUUGAUCGAAGGGAUGACCCGGUGACUCCUUUGCUGAAUCAGUGGACCUAUCAGGCUAUGGUUCAUGAAUUAAUAGGAAUUCAGGACAACAAAGUGGAUUUGAGAAGUAUUGGCAAGUUUCCAAAAGAUCAGGAGGAGGUUGUCCUGUCAUCAGAGCAAGAUGCCUUUUUUAAAGCUAACAUGUAUGAGAAUUUUGGAGAUAUUGGAAUGAACAUCAAGCGGAUGGUGGAUGAAUUUCAGCAAGUUGGAAAAAGUAACCAAAACAUCCAGACAAUAGAGGACAUGGCCAAAUUUAUUGAUAAUUACCCUGAGUACAGGAAAAUGCAUGGCAAUGUUUCAAAGCAUGUAACAUUAGUAACAGAAAUGAGCAAGAUAGUUGAAGAACGAAAGCUCAUGUUAGUUUCAGAAACAGAGCAGGAGUUGGCUUGCAAUGGUGGGCAAGUUGCUGCUUUUGAGGCUGUGACAAAUCUUUUAAACAAUGAAAGUGUGUCUGACAUUGACCGUCUCCGCCUGGUGAUGUUAUAUGCCUUGCGGUACGAAAAGGAGAGUCCUGUUCAAUUGAUGCAGCUUUUCAACAAGCUGGCUUCUCGAUCUCCCAAGUACAAGCCUGGGCUUGUCCAAUUUCUCCUGAAGCAAGCAGGUGUGGAUAAGCGAACUGGGGAUCUUUAUGGGAAUCGAGAUCUUUUGAAUAUUGCUCGUAAUAUGGCUCGUGGCUUAAAGGGAGUUGAAAAUGUAUACAUCCAGCACCAGCCUCUACUCUUCCAAACCAUGGAAAGCAUAAUCAGAGGGAGGAUGAGAGAUGUGGACUACCCUUUUGUUGGGAAUCACUUUCAACAGGGAAGGCCACAGGAUGUGGUUAUUUUCAUUGUUGGUGGGACAACA
This 1143-nucleotide unclassified non-coding RNA is filed under the name Hevea brasiliensis (rubber tree). The record is from RNAcentral. Lineage: Eukaryota; Viridiplantae; Streptophyta; Magnoliopsida; Malpighiales; Euphorbiaceae.